RNAcentral lists this ribosomal RNA (235 nucleotides) under uncultured bacterium. RNAcentral describes it as "partial 16S ribosomal RNA". It matches the Rfam family "Bacterial small subunit ribosomal RNA", at positions 100 to 334 of the family's 1533-position model. The record is from RNAcentral.
CGGCACGGGUGAGUAACACGUAUCCAACCUGCCGUCUACUCUUGGACAGCCUUCUGAAAGGAAGAUUAAUACAAGAUGGCAUCAUGAGUCCGCAUGUUCACAUGAUUAAAGGUAUUCCGGUAGACGAUGGGGAUGCGUUCCAUUAGAUAGUAGGCGGGGUAACGGCCCACCUAGUCUUCGAUGGAUAGGGUUCUGAGAGGAAGGUCCCCCACAUUGGAACUGAGACACGGUCCAA